AUUGAACGCUGGCGGCAGGCCUAACACAUGCAAGUCGAGCGGAUGACGGGAGCUUGCUCCUUGAUUCAGCGGCGGACGGGUGAGUAAUGCCUAGGAGUCUGCCUGGUAGUGGGGGACAACGUUUCGAAAGGAACGCUAAUACCGCAUACGUCCUACGGGAGAAAGCAGGGGACCUUCGGGCCUUGCUCUAUCAGAUGAGCCUAGGUCGGAUUAGCUAGUUGGUGGGGUAAUGGCUCACCAAGGCGACGAUCCGUAACUGGUCUGAGAGGAUGAUCAGUCACACUGGAACUGAGACACGGUCCAGACUCCUACGGGAGGCAGCAGUGGGGAAUAUUGGACAAUGGGCGAAAGCCUGAUCCAGCCAUGCCGCGUGUGUGAAGAAGGUCUUCGGAUUGUAAAGCACUUUAAGUUGGGAGGAAGGGCAGUAAGUUAAUACCUUGCUGUCUUGACGUUACCGACAGAAUAAGCACCGGCUAACUCUGUGCCAGCAGCCGCGGUAA
This 500-nucleotide ribosomal RNA is filed under the name uncultured bacterium. RNAcentral describes it as "partial 16S ribosomal RNA". It matches the Rfam family "Bacterial small subunit ribosomal RNA", at positions 30 to 523 of the family's 1533-position model. The record is from RNAcentral.